AUGAUACUGCUGGUGAGGGAGACGAGGAUAGAACUGUGGAAGACAUCAGUGGGGAAUAAAGUGUAGUUGGUGGUAGUUGUAAGCACGUCAGAGCUGGAGAGUGGUUUCUGGGAGAGGCACUAAAAUAAGAGAGAAAAUGGCCUUAGGAGGAGCCUUCCUUCAGGGGCGACUGAACGGGGGCAGACGUGCAGUCUCUGAAUCGAGAGAAAAACGACGCUAGGUCAGAAUCUAGAGACUGAAGAGUCCGCGAACAGAGGUCUCGCCUCAGGCGAGUGAAGCAACCCGACUGAAGUCCGCCAGAUCGAAACGGCCUCUUUGACUCAUUGUCCCUCCACCUCCGACCGCCCUUUUUGUCAUUUUCCCUUCAGUGUCGCUCACCACAGAUUGCUGUCUCCAGUAAGACGCCCAGCUCAAUUGUGCACCUCAGGAACUCUACGCGCCACAAAUUCAAGUAAGAGGCUUGGAAUCUCGCCGCCCCAAACGUCUCCUAGAGUGAAGGAGAGACGGGCCAAUCAAAGGCAAACUGGCUCCAGAUGCCCAAAUCGGUGGGCGUGGCGAAGGAAUGCUGGAGGGACGUUACUGAGUUGCUAAGACGACGGCUUCCGGGUGGGCGGGCCGAGGUGACUUCUGGCCGGAAGACGAGACUCCGCGGGAAAAGCUGCCCCGCUAGGUGGACGAGGAGCUGUCGGGGUGAGGCAGUUUCCUCAAGAGUAACGGCGGGCCUGUGCUAGGGUCACACCACCGGCCUUCGUUUCCUUUACCCUUCUCUCUAACCAAACGAUAUUCCUGCCCACUUACAAAGUGCAAGUUGUUUCCCUAAGCUUACAAUCUGAAGGUGUCCGUUCCUACACUGGUCAGACCACUGUCCUUGGGGCAGCUGGGGUCUUUGGGACCCUCCACCGGGCUCGCCGGUCCGUCGGACUUUUGGCUGAGAUCCGUGUCAGACUCCUCCGAAUAGUCGUCUGUUGGCAUCGAGGGCUGAACCCCUGAGGUGCUGCAUGAACUUGAGAGCGCGCUCUCGCACGCCAGGCAGUGGUACGAGCCGCCGCCGCCACCGCCGCCACCGCUGCCGCCGCCACUGCCGCCGCCGCCCGUGGGGACGUGAAGCACCAUCUCUUGCAGGUUCACCACAGACUGGCCGAAGAAGCAGAGGGACUUCAGGGUGAUGGAAGACAACACUGCUACUGGUACAUCAAGGUGGUGGUAGAAGAGGACAGCAUUGUGAGGAAGGGAGACCAGGUGUGCUGAAUGAGGAGAUGCUGAGAAGAAUUCACAGGCAGUGAACCUCAGAUCAUUACAUUCAGCACACUUCAGAAACUAGACGGUAUUCAUCCCUUUGCUUCAGAGCGUACCACAGGUAAAAUUAAACCCACAGCUCCUCACUAUUUCAUCUGGACCAACCUAGGAUUGGGUGUUCUAUAGCACAACAUGGGCCUUGUAAGAAAAAAACACACGGAAGUGCACACCUGGGUGAAGACGAUGUUGACUUCACAGUGGGGCAGCAUGUAAAAACUCUCAAAUUUCAGACGAAGAGGACACGGUUGCCUCAAGCUGUCAAUCCCAGAAAAAGAUCCAUUAAUGUUUGGAAAGCCAAGGAAGAUGCUUCCCUCAGCUUUGUGGAAUAGCAUUAAUCUGUUCUUUCAGAACAGCAGAAAGGGACGACUGAAAUUAAGUCAUCCAGUUUCCUCAAUGCACAGAAGGGACUGAAACCAGAGAGAUAUGUGUGACUCAGAAAAACCCUGUAAAGGUUCACUGGUUAAACUGGCACAAACAAGAUGGAGAGCAAAUGGAUUAUGAAGUCGACAACUUAGGACGCAGCUCUUUCUGUCUACUUACAGGCAACAGGCCUGCUCCAAGUUUUAGGUUGGAGUCAGAGCCAAAAGAUCAGCAAGGCAAUGCAAAAACAGCUAGAGAUUUCCUAUCUCUAUGGCAUCAGGCUUUCAGGAGAAGGAUCCAGAUUCAGAACCAUAUUGCCCAAUACAGGAUUCCUGGCCAGUGCAUUCAAGUACAAAGGGAGUCUCAUUAGGAACUGAUAGAGCCACUGUCGUUCUGGCUAGAUAAGAAGACCAGGAGUAAGGAUCCAUAUAUAAGAGCUUCUUCCCGAUAGCAGUUCUGCCAGAACAGCUCUCUAAAAAUGGGCAGGAACCACAGGUAAGGAUAAGGACUUGAUUUAAAUUUUCUUGAACCAGUUUCCAAAGGGCACAAUUCAGAAUUAGCUAGGAUACUCAAAUGUCUUCUAUUUUCAACAAAUAUCUACAUGGCAGUGGCAUUUUCACAAAGACUGGAAGGAUUUAGGAUGAAAACCUCUUUCUUGAAAAUACCUCAGGAUUUAGGAUGCCAGGACCCUCAAGUUCUUCACUAUGGCACACACCCUGGUGGUGCUACUCAACACAGGAAAUAAGAAUGAUUUCAGAGAAGACUGUUCCUACCGGGGGGGUGGUUCCCAUCCCUGAGAUUGGGACAUCAUAGAACCAUGUACACCACAGCACUAGGGAGACUCAAUGAAGGGGACCAGAAGUUUUGUUGCUGUUAGAGAAGUAGAAAGGGAAGCUUUUUCCUAUCUGCCCAACAUUCUUAGGAUUUGGGUGGUAGCCACAGAACAAAAUACUAAUGGGGCAGCUAUUUAAUGCUGUAAGAAUCACCUAGAGCAGAACCCACCUGUGUUGGAUGGAGUAAAGCCCGGCAAAGAGGGGCUGUUGAGGCUGGGGAGCAACACAGGAGGAAUGCCCUGGAGCGUGGGAUAUGCUGUAGGAAGGUUGAGAGCCUGAAGAGGGGCAUUGUCAAACAUCCCUUGCUGCUGAGCUGCCAGUCCGAGGACCUCAUUGGCCUUUUUAAUCCGGUCCAACUCUUGUUGAGCCAUCAACUGACGUACAGUGGCUGGGUCAAAGUAUUCUUUCUCCUUGUCCAACUGGCUUCCAAUGGUGUCUUUAACUUUGGAGAUAUGCUGUUGGGAAAAGAUAUGGUCACGUACAGACAGCCUAGCGCUGUACUUGAUGCCACACAAAGUGCACUCUGUUUUCGGUCCCUCGUAACUUGUUUGGUUUAUACCAAAAUGCUUAGCCAUGCUUAACUUGGACUUCUUUUCUUUUGCCCGGGCAUUCUGGAACCAGACCUGAACAACUCUCUUUGGCAGUCCAAUAUCAUUGCCCAGGACCUCACACUCUAGCAUGGUGGGUGUCCUGUAGUCAUUAAAGCAUGACUUGAGGACUUUGAGCUGCAGAUUGGUCAUCUGAGUGCGAAAACGUUUCUGCCCUGGCCGAUCCCCACUGUCUCCAGAUUUGCCUGCUGACCCACUUGCACCAGGACUCGGGGAGCAGGGGUCUGCAAGGCUUGAGGUUUCACUAUAGUCCACUGUACCUUCAUUGUCAUAUUCCUUGCUGUAAAAGCUUGGGGCUGGACUGACCAGACCCGAUGACAACCGAUCUUCAUACUCAGACAUUGCCAUCAUGGCCGCUUUGGUCAACCCUUCAUUGGGUGCAGAGGAGGAUUUGGUUUCAGUUGCUAUUCCCGUUGCACUGUCAUUAUCUGCAUUGCCCUCGUCUCCUGUAGUGGUAUCUGUGAUUGCUGUGUUGACAGAGGAACAGUCGUCAUUGUCCAGCUUGGUUUGGUCAAAGUUUAGAUUAACUGAGGACAUGGAGGGGCUUUCAAAGUCUUCAAUCCCUUCCACCUUGAUGGAAGAAGGGCUAAGAAGAGUUCUGGGAGAUAACUCCAUGGUUUUACUCACAGGGCUUGCACUGGCCUUUUCCUCCAGCUUCCUCUUCAGAGUGUUCAUUGUGGAGGUCGGAGUUGAAGGAGAAGUGGCCGAGCUGGCUGGAAUCUGAGGUAUGGCCCCAGAGAGCAGCUGGCUUGCCAGGAGUGGGUUACUAGGGUCAAACAGCAUGAAAGGCAUAUCCAGUGACCUGUCCAAAAACUGGGGGUGGAUGAACUGAUUCUGUGCACUCAGAAAAUGAAGCUGCUGAUGCUCCUGCCAGUGCUCAAAUGAUGGAAAUGCCAACUUACAUUGGUCACACUGGUAGGGGAUUAGCUGAGGAGGUAGGUUUGCCAACUGUUGAGGAGUCGACGUGUGGAGGGGCUUGAGGGGCAGGUGGGAGAGCUGGGAAGGACUGGGGCUUGACUGGGGUAAGGGGCACUGAGGUGGGGGUGCUUGUGGAGGAGGCUGUGGCAACGCAGCAGGGGAAGUGAGCUGUGGGAGCUUUUGCUGGGCUGUGUUUGUCUUCUGCUCAGGCUGGUCUUGCUGCUGCAGCUCUGCCUUUGGUUGUCCUUGCUUUUCUUGGGUUUGGUUUGGCUGUGCACUGGGAGGUUCAGCCUGCUUUGGUUUCUCAUCACUCGCCUCUGUUUUUGAACUAAAAGUGGCCAGUUCGUCAGCCUCUGCCGUGAGCUGUAAGAAAGCAGAGGAAGCUGUGUUGGCCGAUGAUGCUGGGGCGCUGUAUGCCUGUGAGGGCAUUGGGGUGCUGCAGGAGGAGCUGGUGGGUGUCAGGAUUUCCAUGGCAUCCAUGGAAUCCUCAUUUUGGCUGUCAUCCUGCCCCUCCUCAUCCUCAUCUUUGUAACACAGCUUCUUCUGAUGCUUGAUGAGAUCAAAGAUGCGCUGAAACACCAGGCUACAUUUUUUGCACUGGUAGUUCAAGUUGCUUGUUCGAAUAUACCUAUCGUUUGUAAGCUCGCGCCGCUCUCCAUCUUUGCCCUCCCCCUGAUUCUCAUAAUUUUUCCUGGCCUUCUGUCGGGCAUUUUGAAACCACACCACUAUGACUCGGGUUGGAAGGUUCAGUAAAUUAGAGAGUUGCUCAAAUUCAUCAUCCUUUGGGUAAGCAUUGGCAUCAAAGAAAUCCUGUAGGACUCUCAGUUGGUAAUCUGUAAACCUUGUUCUUGACGACCUCUUGCUUCCCCAGUACUCCUGCUUCUGCGGUUCCGGAGAAGGGGGCCGGGAGUCAAUCUUGAGCUCCUCCAGGCUGGUGAUAGGAGGAUUGCUAAAGUUGUAAGGGGAAUCCUUGUUACGCUGCCGCUCUUUGAAGAGGGUGUUUCUGAACCAGUGCUUGAUCACCUUCUGGGGCAACCCAGACUUGUCUGCCAUUUCUUUGAUCUGCUCUUCACUGGGGGAGUUGUUAAUGUCAAAAUACUGUCGCAGGACCCGGAGCUGGUCAUCUGUGAUUCUGGUGCGAGGCCUCUUGUUCUGUUGCUGGAGCAGGCUUGGAUUGAGCUGAUGCUGGUACAGCUGGGCCAGGUCUGCAGGCAGAGGCUCCACAGGUCCAAGUUGAGGGGGAAGCUGAGCUGGCAAGGUCUGCAGUGGCAUCGUCUGCAUCAUCAGCGGGGAGAAGAUGGGCAGCUCCAUGGGCAUGGAGAGCUGGGGGUUAAAAAUGACACUAACCAGGCUGCUUUCCUGCCUCCUCCAGAUUGGAGUUCCCGUCUCGAUCUGGAACAGCUGCUGGGAGGAACAUGCUGCUGGGCAUCACCAUCUCAGGGGUGGUCACCUGAGAAAUAAGAGGCAGAGAAAUGAGGAGAGUCAAAUGGAGAGGAAAGAGACACAAAACAGGGAAAUGUGUAAAAAUUAUUUAAUAAGCAAAAUUAGCCUUCACCAGUGUAAAGCUGGAAGUGUCACUUUUCAUAGCUCACUGAAGAUUCAUGUUUAUUAGACAAAGCUCACAUCAGUCAAAAGUGUUUCUACGGUUACAUUCUGGACAUAAUUAGCAGUGCACACUUGAAGAAUAAUCUUAUUAUUAAUAUUUUUCCUUUAUGCAGAAUUUUGACUUUGAUCACUGACAAUGUUUUGUCAUGGGCUGUGAAACUUCUUGUGCAACCAAUUAGGUAGAUAAGUUGAAAGGCCCACCUUAAGCUGCUGAAAACAUAAUAAGGGCCCUAAUUAAAUCAUACCUAGUAAAGUACACUGUAAUCUUGAAGCAGGGAGCAUUGUAGUACUGUUUUCAAAAUGUAUUCAGGCAAGAAGAGGAGGGGAAUGAGAGCGAAGGAAAGGGUAAGAAGAAGAGAACAGAACAAAGAGAAGGCUAAGGACACGCAGACACAUUGGCAGAUCCUCCAGGAAACAUUUUGUAACCCUUUAGAAGCUAGAUCAAGUGCAAACGAGCAUUUCUUAUGACUCACUUCAGCCAGGAUUUCCUUUGGAGUCUUUGCUCGAGGUACUCAGAAUCAUUGGGAAGCUCUGGCCAGUGUCCCAGCCACACAGGGUGCCUUGCACAGCAUUCUAUACCAGGGCUGCACCACCUUGACCGUGGCUAUUGUUUACUAAUAUAGCAAUUGCAGAAUCAGCCUGGAUCAAAAGAGCUGUAAUUUUAGAUCAGAUCCUCAGACACUUCUCUAGGCUUCUCUGCCAUCUGGCUGGAAGUUUGUCUACAUAAGUUAUCAUUUACCAGACAUUAAUGUGAUAAGCAGCCCUCAAAUCCAACGUAAGGAUAAAACGUUCUUGAUUUAAACAGAAUAUCCCUUUGCCUGCUACAGGGUGGAAAGGUAGUAGGCGAAGAUAUUGCUACAUGAAUUAGAAAUUAUUUCCUGUUUGAUGACAGCCUAAGAAAUGAGCUGAACAGAAACUGGAGUCACACCCCUAGCCUUUCUACAUGGCAUCCAGCCCUACCUGAAGGAGUUAUCUUCCCAUGAAACACAGGUAUCUCAGGAGCUUUACUUGCUGUUGCAAAGACUAGAACACCUAUAUUACUGUUCAAAAUUAAAUAUUUUAAAUAAAUUAUUAAUUUUUUAACGGUUUAAAGAUCCUGGCCUUGCUCAAAAUAGCUGCUGACAUGUUCCCUAGAAACAUCGUGACAGGCUCCAGUCCUAGGGGAAACCCACACAACGGUCCCCAUAAACACCAAAAAGGGAACACCUCAGUACCUUUCGGGGUAUUAGAAUAAUUUCAGCAGUUCAGAUGCUGAUAAGGUGCAGAAAUUAAGCAACAGGCGCUACAGAGAAGGGUUCUGAGAAAGCUCACGUUUAUGAAGAGCAGGUGCAAGGCAGGUGAAUGUGCAUGACACAGAAUUCCUGCUCCUAGACAUCUGCACCCUCACACAAAGCUCGUCGGCAGCUGGUUAAGGCUAGCUGUUGAUGAAUCGUUAGGAAUGGAGCAGAGAUUGCCAAACUCAUUCCAUCUAUUUUCUUUUUAAUAGAAAGCAUUUCUGACCAGUGUGGUUGGGGAGUCCAGCGGGAAUCCAAGAAGUGAAAGGUCACCGAUUAAUUUAUAGUCUUCAGCUAAGGGGGAGCACGAGGUUGGGGGCAAGAGGGGGAGAAAGGGAAAGGAAAAAAGACUCCCCCCCACCUCCUUUCUCGGUUGUAGCUGCAGGAUCAGUCCUUUCCAGGGAUCUUUAGGAAUUAUGAAAAAUGAAUCAUGAGAAAUAAAAAAAAAAAGCCCUACAGAGUAAAAAAGAAUAAAAUUAUCUAACACCUCAGCUGCACAUCAUUAUAGAAAACUGUGGGCUUUUUAUACGCAUUACAGUAAGGCAGACAUCCCCUCUAACAGACUCAGUACGACGGAUCAGUAAUUGUUUUCAUACACUUUAAUUAGAAAAACUCAGAUGGCUAUGAAUAAUAAUGGAAAAGAGAGACUUUUGCACUUGAAAGGUUGAAGUCAAUCAAGUGUGAAUGACGGCAAAAAAGAAAAAAAAAAAGACACCAAUUCAUCAGCCCUCUGUUGUCUCGCCGCGACUUUAAUCAUAAUUCCUGAUUGGGAUUCAAGAAGGCAGUAAGCAGAGGUUCUUUGUCUGCCUUCACCUUCCAUCAAUUAACUCUUCCCGAAAUAUAAUCAUCAACCUCACAUGCUCCUCUGCAUCUUAAUCUGGGCCUCGAAACCUGUAAGUCUUGCCCCAUAUGUGUUUAAGUAAUUACUUUUAUCUACCUGCAUCUUCUCAUCUGUAGGGUCCUCAAAUUCUCUGGGGGGAAAAAAAGAUUUGGUAUAUAAAAUUUUGAUGGGCAAGAAAUUCCCAGGAGGCAAAGAGGAAUCUCCCUAAAGGGAAUCCUGAGGAUCUAGGAAGUCUGGUGAGGUGUAUCUGCACAUAUGUCUCAACACAGAGAUGGAAAAUGGAAGCCUCCUUCCUGCACAGGCUACUGGAGGGCCCCAAGGCAGCCCUCAGACACUAAAGUUUCUGUGCCUUUGUUCACUUGUCCCUCUCCUCCUACUUUCCAGAGCUUCUCACUCAAACUCUGCAUGCUUUUUUUGUAAAGAGCCAUAAAUACAGUCCUGCCAACAGCUCACUGAGGAAAAGGAGAGUUGGCCAAAGGCAGAGUUCCUUCGACAUCUCCCUUGGCAUCCCCCUCACCCCCUUGUUUUCUGGUCCUAUAUGACUACCAAGUGGUGUGGAAGGUUCAGACUCUCCUAGCCACACCUCUGAUGGGUAGCUGAAAGUCACUGGGAAAGGCAGUCCCUCAGGUGUGCUGAGCACUGUUCUGUGAAGACCUUCCCUUUCGCUAGGUGCACUGGAGCAUGCAGGUGUGUGAGAGGACACAACCUGACUGCAGCAUAACCAGAACCAUCCCAGAUGUGCCCAAACCUCAGACACCCUCAAAUAACAGGAUGGCACCACCUUCCCCUGCAGAGAAAACACAUGCAUGCAUAUGCUCUCUUUCCUCCCUCCAAUCUCCCUCUUCCUACUUCUACUCCAGAUUCAAAAGCCAAACGAAAAGUUUCAGGUUUGGCCAGAUGACAACACAAUUGGUACAAACAACUAUACUUUCUCCAUGUCACUAUUCCAUCCAUGUAGAUUGAUUUUUCUCAUAAUCUAUACAUCCAUCAACACUGAGUAUGUUAAAUUAUGUCCCAAAUACUCUAUGUAUACAGGGGACCAGAGACUAUUAAAACAGACUUUUUUUUUUUAGGUUAUAGUAUUUCACUGAUAGAUUUUGUGUGUGUUUGUGUUUAAAUAAUUUACUGUCAACUUAGCUAACAUACUUUUAGUCUGGCCUUGGCCAUGCAACAGGCAAUUCCAUGGUAAUCUUCUAGAUACCACAUAUGUUCCUGAGAGUCUUCAGAGUUGAUGGGAAUGCAGGAAAAAAUCACCUUUGGAACUGAGGUAGUGACAGAAAAGUGGCUGUGAAAUCUUCUUAAGAAAAUAGGUCUCAUAUAUACAAGAGAAAUAUGGAGUUCUGCUCUGAUGCCAGAAAUCUUGAAGUUGAGGCAAUUCUCAUAAACAACAAUAGAAAUAAAAGAGUUCCACACUGACACUGAAAGUCUUCAAGCUUAAGCAAUUUCAAAACAACUUAGUUGUUGAGAAAGAAGGGCCUCAAGUGACUCUGCUUACCCAUGCAUUUGACCAUCAUUCACUAGAUAUCGUACAGGGUCCCUGUAUUGCACGCCUGUUAAGAUAUGGUGAGACAAAGUCCCUGUGCCCAAGAAGCUCACAAGCCAGAAUAAAUAACCUUUCAGAGAUCAUAACCUUAGAAAAUCUGAGGAAGGCUGCAGAUGCCUAAAAACAUACUUUCACACAGAAACUAGUACAGAUAAUUUCAGGAAAUCACAGGCUCCCUAGAGAAAAAUCCAUGGACUCAAGUUAACUGUCCUUGAACUACCAGGAGAGGUGACAUGGAUUCAUAAAUACCUAGUUCCCACUUCUGUUUGGCUCAUCAUUGUUUCGGAUUAUGACUUGAUUCUUUUCAAAGCCCCAAGGACACUCCUUAUAAAACCCAGAGGGUUGGAUGUGGGUCUGGCUGCCACUAUGACAUUUGGGAGGGACCACCGGUGUUUAUUGUUUCUCGGUAGAAGAAGCUAGAGUUAUAAGGAGCUCUCUCGCUUCCUGCUUUCUCCAGAUCAUGGAUGUGGAAUGGCCAAAUAAAGCACCCUGAACAGCCAAGGGGUAUAUACCAUGCUAAGUUCUCAUGGGACUAUCCAUGCAAAUUUACCACUCAAGGCCACCUUGUCUGACUUAGACCGAUACAACCAACAUGUUCCACACGCUGGAAAGCAAAGAUACUAUCCCUACACCCUUGCCAUUGCUCACCUAAGUAGGGGAUCUUUCUAAAAGGUUCACUACUCCAAGUGAAAAAAUACGUUUGACAAAACCUAGACUCCUAAGGAACCCUCAAAUCUUUUACUUUUCAGUAAAAAUCAUUAGAAUGAACCACCUCAGAUAAGAGAAGACGGGAAAGCCUCAGACACAGGCAUUCCUGAUGCAGACCUGGCCAGUCUCCGCAUCCUUGUAAGUAAGGAACUGCUUCUGUUAAUACUGAAGUUCAAACCCAGAUGCUUCGGGAGCUCAGCAUUCUAGCUAGUGGUAUGUCUGCAGGCUGCAGUGGGACUCAGGCUGCUCACUGCUCCUGCACCGGCCACCACGGGAGCCUGUCCACUGGUCUCUGCACUUCUGCAGCCAGCAAUCCAGAGCACCUCCUGGCAGCAGGGCUUCAGAAUUGUUCUUCUUUCCUUUACUCCCUCCCAAAUGUGCCAGGCUGGGCACUGGCCCACAGAGGCUAGAGGGCCUGCUUUCUCUCUCUUUCUUGUUUCCUUUCUAAAUUGUUUUCUAUGUGGUUGUCUAUCUUUGUGUGUGCGUGUGUGUGUGUGUGUGUGUGUGAACCUAAAACUCAUGAGGAAAAACUGUAGGGCCAUGUUCACAUUCAUGUGGGCCAGAAAAUAACAUAGCCCUAACCAGAGUUUAAAAACUAAGAAUAAGAAAGACAAAAAUAAAAAGGUGACUGGAAGAACAGGAAACACAGGAAUAGUUAACACACACACAGGGUGACAGAAAAGAAAGUUGAGAAGGAGAAUGGAUUGGAGAGAAAAGCUUCAUUAGACUCAGAGAGGCAAGCAGUGGCAGUAUACCAAGGUCACUUCUAAUUUAGACCAUCUAAUUGGCAAACAGGCUCCAAAUGGCUAUCAUCUCACAGGGCUUGGAAUUAAUGAAGCCCGAUUAUUUUCAUUACCUUCCUCUGAGAUAGAGACAAAGUGAGAGAGCUGGUACCCAAGCAGGUGCAAAAGCCCCAGGGCUAGUGGCCACCCGCCGCCCCAGUUGGGGGGGGCAGACAGCAAGCCUGUCCCAGAGGCCCAUAGAUGCACAGGGAGACAGACAAUGACUGAAAGAAGUCACAGUACACAAACUAUUGCUCCUGAGUGGGGGGUGCAGAGGGCAGGGGAGGCAGGAAGGGAGGAGAGAGAAAAAUGGGGUGCAGGGCCAGGAGCAGAGAAGGGAAACCUGUGCACAAACAGAAAAUACUGGAUAACUAAGAACUACCAAAGGGAGAUAAGAUGAAGAGCUAGAGAAAAAGAAGUUCCUGGGCUGCUCAGGAGCCUAUCCCCAUCUCCACUAUGAGGUCAUAUUGUGGUAAGCGACAAAGGAACAAAAACAAUUUCCCCAUAUCAAUGUUCCAGGAGCCCAGUGGUGUGUCCUGUUACUUAGAAGGACAGUGAUCAAUUAGCGUAAGAGUAUUGAAAUGCAUAGUAGGUGGUUUUUCCCAUUCUUAUGGAGGGGCCAGGAACAUGUCCCCCCUCAGCCUCAACCCUCCUUCCCCCAAAAGAGUAGGAAAAGGAGGGUACAGAACAGGAGCUCCUACAUCCCCUCCACCAAUUUGAAAUCUCUACCUUCUCUGUAAAUAGGUGAGAGUUCUGUGGAGCCAACACUGGUAGCAGCCUGCUCGGUCAGGUCUGGAGGGGCACUUGUCUCAAAACCCUUAGGCUUUAUAGAUUUGCUUCUUUGAUAUGACGUGUAUAAAAACACUCUUUGGAGGUCUGUUUCCAAUAGGCCAAGCAGAAUGAAGUGCUGCGGGUGCAGUUUCCAUAGUGGAGAACCAGAGCUGCGAUUGUUCCCAGUGGAGAAUAUUUUCAAGCCCCUUCAUCAGUCGCUUUGAAGAAAGAGGAGAUUCUGAGCUACCUGUGAAGGAGAUGCGUUUGGAGGUCGCGGGAGAAUCUGUCAGCUCCUUCUCUGCUUGGCUGGACGAUGCUGGAAGGAAAAGCAGAAGAUGCGAUACAGCAGCCAGACCAGGCCAGCUCCCAGAGGGUUUGUGUUGGGUGAAAAUCAACAUUCAUUUAUAGCACAGGAUUUUCUUGAAACACCAAAACUCAAGUAGGAUGAGCAUCCGGACUGACUUAUCAAGCACACUGGAAAAGAAGCAAGUGUUCCUUUUUCCCCCAUGAAUUUCUGUCACUACUUUAACAACUGAAUGCUGAGGGAAAAAAAAUAUGGACUAAAAGGCUCUGAGUUGGAUUAAGCUAAAUUCGGUGUAUUCUGACUUCCCCCCAAUCAAGACACAAUCUGCUGGCCUAUGGGGGCAGUCAGGUUGAGAGUGGGUAGGGAGUCUUACCAAAUGGCUGGUCAACCUGAGUACCCAGACACACACUGCUUUCACAGAAGUCCUCAACUAUAUGAGCUCAACUUUAUUUUCCCAGCUCUUGGAAUCACAGCACAGCACAUCACAGGAGACAUGACACAUGUGACCUGAGAAAGGUUCACAUGGAUAUCCGCAUAUAAAUACUUGGGGGGAAAAAUCAAGUUUGAGUUUAGCAACCUGGUUUUGGGGAAAAAGUAAUUGAAGAGUGAAAGAUGCAGGGCACGAAUCCAACGUAUAAUCUAGCCAAUGCUCCAGACACAAGCGUUUAUUCUGAGUAGGUGGUAAGAGGGAAAGUCUCCUCUCUGCUUGCCCAAACCACGCCCCAUUUCACCAAAAAAACAACCAAAACGUUAAUUAAUGAGGAGAGUCACAUGAGACUUAAGAAGCAAACAGUAGGUACAGAAAUGUGGGUGGAAGGAGUUCUCUGAAAUACAGAAAAGGAUCUGGAAGAAUUUGAUGAGAAAACCACUGGGUUAAAGGUUUAACAAGGAUCAGCAGUGCUUCUCCAGCGUAAACACAAAUCCCACCAGGAGUGGAUGUGGUCAUUCCAAAACCUGGUCAGUAUCUAAGGAUGGUUCUCUCACUUGUGAACACAGAACCUCCUUUUUCAGAAUUUUGCUACGAAUGAUUUUUAAAAUCCUGAAAAUGGUCGGGAGAAAUAUAUACCCAUUCUCCUCAUUGAAAAAGAAUGUGACUUGCUAUUGUGGUCCUUGGUUUAGAAAGCCUAAUUUUUACUCUUAAGUGCAAAUGCUGUCUGUAUCACCCAGUCUAGUUACCUAGCUUGUGUUUCUACUUUAGGCUCAGCUUUGAAAUUUGUUCUGAUGUGGAUACCAAGAUGCUCUCAUUAUAGAUGUGCUUUUUAAUAAACAAUUUUAGAAAAUCAAUUUUA
This is a long non-coding RNA of Acinonyx jubatus (cheetah), 13132 nucleotides long. RefSeq lists it as uncharacterized. The transcript is spliced from 8 exons. The record is from RefSeq and is a predicted model, not a curated record. NCBI's taxonomy places the organism in Eukaryota, Metazoa, Chordata, Mammalia, Carnivora, Felidae.